AAGUUGUAACAAGGUUUCUGUAGGUGAACCUGCGGAAGGAUUAUUAUUGUAAGGGCUUCAGCCUUAUUAAGAUAGAACCCUUGCCUUUAUAGUACCUUCUGUUGCCUUGGCAAUGCGUAAUAGCACAGCUAAUGGGCCAAAAUAAACCUUGUAUUAUAGUUAUAGUCUGAAAAAGCAAACAAAAAGUUAAA
This 191-nucleotide unclassified non-coding RNA is filed under the name plant metagenome. RNAcentral describes it as "partial contains small subunit ribosomal RNA and internal transcribed spacer 1". The stretch from base 1 to 46 matches the Rfam family "Eukaryotic small subunit ribosomal RNA", at positions 1786 to 1831 of the family's 1831-position model. The record is from RNAcentral.